AUGGCCCAUGGUGAAUCAUCCGGCGGUGGCAGGACCGUGCGGGUGGUCGACGUAUGGGCCCAGAACGAGGCGGCGGAGCUGGCCCGCAUCCGCGGCCUCGCCCGGGGCUUCAGGGUCGCGGCGGUGGCCACGUCCAUCGAGCUGCCGCCGGGUCCGUCGCCCACACGCACCCUGGACGACAGCUACGAGGCCGUCCGCGCCGCCGUGGACGGCGUGCGGUCCGUGCAGCUGGGCCUGGCCCUCCUCAGCUUCGACGGCGACCUGCCUCCGGCCGGCCGCGUGUGGCGGUUCCACCUCGGGGAGGGGCGCGGCGAGGCCAGCCCCCGCCGCUUCUGCGAGGCCCUCUGGAGCUACACCCGCGCCACCAUGCCCGACUGCGUCUGCGCCACGCGGGACGGCGCCGCCGACGUGGCGUACCUUCUCAGGCACCUUGACGGCGGCCUCCCGCCCCGGCGCGAGGCGUUCCUGCGGAGGUGUAACGUCUUUUUCACCCAACUGUACGACCUGAGGGUGCUGGCGGAGUGGAGGCCGGUGGAGGACGGGGAUCCCCCGCUCGCCGCCGCCACCGGAGACGCGUUCCGCCGAUUCCUGGAGCUGGUGCGGGAGUGGCGGCCGACGGGAUGGCCCUACGGUUACAACGCGUUUCUAUACGGACUCGGAGCCAACGAUGAUGACCCCCUCCUCCACUACAAGAGAAUAUCGGCGGAGUACGACGAGAGUAGGAGGCGGUUGAAGGAGCAUCUCCUUCAGCACCACGAUGAGGAAUAUGUUGUGAAAAGGUUGCUUCCUGUGAUUAUGUAA
This 801-nucleotide ribosomal RNA is filed under the name Triticum aestivum (bread wheat). RNAcentral describes it as "partial small subunit ribosomal RNA". The record is from RNAcentral. Lineage: Eukaryota; Viridiplantae; Streptophyta; Magnoliopsida; Poales; Poaceae.